UACGUAGGUGGCAAGCGUUAUCCGGAAUUAUUGGGCGUAAAGGGUGAGUAGGCGGUUAAUUAAGUCUGAAGUUAAAGGCAGUGGCUCAACCAUUGUAUGCUUUGGAAACUGAAUAACUAGAGUAUGAUAGAGGUCGGUGGAAUUCCACAUGUAGCGGUGAAAUGCGUAGAUAUCCGGAGGAACACCAGUGGCGAAGGCGACUUUCUGGCCUGUUCUUGACGCUGAGGCGCGAAAGCUAGGGUAGCAAACGGG
Molecule: ribosomal RNA, 252 nt
Filed under: uncultured bacterium
Lineage: Bacteria
Description: partial 16S ribosomal RNA
Rfam family: Bacterial small subunit ribosomal RNA
Source: RNAcentral